Cyprinus carpio (common carp) is the source of this 1672-nucleotide long non-coding RNA. The record is from Ensembl. NCBI's taxonomy places the organism in Eukaryota, Metazoa, Chordata, Actinopteri, Cypriniformes, Cyprinidae.
CAUAGAACUGAUUUUUCUAUUUGUAAGUUUGCAAAUUUUGGUGACAUGGUUAAUGACAUCUCAAAGAUGUCUGAGAUGACUGGCUAUUGAGCAAAAGCUGCAGAGGUUUUUGAGGUAAAGAGCAGCAAUCAUGCAAGAAGAUACUGCAUUUGCACUGCAAAUUUCCCCUAUUGCACAUUUGUAAGGCAAAUGCAUUUGCAACUUGAUGGGUUCUAAUAGGCCAGAUCAGAAAUAUGACAACAAACAUAAAAUGAUGUUUGAUCAUCCAGGCGAGGAACAUUUGAGAGCAAACUAGACCAAACAAUUUGAGAACCAAGCAAUUUGAGAGCAAAGUGGACCAAACAAUCAUUACACUGGAGCAAUACCCAGUUUAAAGAGAAAUCAACUUUAGUACAAGCCAGAGCAUAAAUAAAAAUGUAUAAAAACAGCAGAGAAGAAAAGAAGGAGAGAUUCUUUUAGUAAACACUGGGCUGCUUGACAUAAACACAGUAACAGGAUGUGACAGUUGAGCUGUGGAAAAUGUGCUCUGUGGUUUCACUGGUCACUGCAAAUAAAAGCACAAAAUUAAAUAUAAUAUAUUUGUAUACAAUACAUACAAUAGGUAUUGUAUGUAGGUUACCCGUGUUUGCAUUCACACUUUAAAUCUUUAGCAGCUUUUUAAAGACAGCAUUACAAAAAAACAACAACAACAACAACAACAACAACAACAACAACAACAAAAACAAUGUGAACAUAUGACUAAUGCAAACUAUAUUCUGUGCAACUGAUCAUGUGAUAUUUAUUUCCAAUAAUCUGCUACUGUACAAAAUGUUAUUAAGGAUAUUCUCAUCUGCUGUUUUAGGCAUUGCCCUCUGUCUUCACUUCUUCCUUUACUAGUUCAGUCUUUCAAAGCAUGUGUGUAAGAUCCGGAGCGGACAGUAAGACAGAAGUUUACACGGCUUAACUGACCUUAAACUGAGUGUCCUGUUAUGGCAAAUUUUCUAACCAGGAAUCUUCAUCUGGAUCUCUGCGUCGUCAUUAUUCUCCUGAUUCAUGCAGAUUAUUCCAAAUCCAAUCAAGAACAAAGGAUUCAGCAGCACAUCAACAAAACAGUGUUUGUGGGGGAAACAGUUACACUUCACUGCAACAAAACCGAGUUUGAUGAGGAUUUCAUAUGGAAAAUGAACAAUUCUUUUAUUUUUAGUCUUGACUAUUACAGUAACAGAACAAUGAGAAACUUCAGCUCAAACAGGAUUCACAUCGACUCCACAGCUCCAAGAGAAUUAACAAUACAUCAAAUACAAGCGUCUGAUGCAGGAAACUACACCUGUUACCCAGCAGCAAUAAGAUGGACAUUAACAACAACAGAAAACCAGAUCAGACCAAAGUCACCCAAAGAAAUGCCGCUGCACAUAAUUAUCAUCAUCAUCUCAUGUUGUGGAGUCAUAAUGAUCUGUCUGAUCAUCACCAUCAGCAUCUGCAUUCACAGGAAACUGAGGCAGAAGAUGAACUCGAGUUUAGAAAAGGAGGAUGUGAAGAUGAUCGCUGACUGUGACAAACACACACUCACAGCCUGUGUAAGUCAGUUGAACAGUUUACCACAUCAUGUCUGUUCACCGGCCCCCAACAAAUAUCACUGACACACUUACACUUCUUGAUGGAAAGAAGUUGUGCAAUCUAACUUCUACUUUAU